CUAUCAUUGAUGAUUUUACUGAACGUGAGAAUGCACUGAAAGAACAGCUUGCGGCUUGUAAAGACACUGUGAGCACCUUGAAGGACAUGUAUUCAUCCUUGACUGAUGAUUAUGUUCAUGAUGACAGUCAGAUGAAGAGUGAAAAUGAGAAGCUCCAAAGAGAACUGGAGCAACACAAACUCAAAGAAAGAGAGUGGGAACAAAAACUUAAGGAAUUGGAGGACAGAUUAAGGCAGGAGAAAGGUCUGAGUAGAAGAGAGAAGGAACUGGAGUCCAAAGAGGGAGGAACGGCAAAGAAAGAGCAAGAAAUCCAAACUACUGGAGAAGAGCAUAAUCUACACCGCAACGUAGAGCUAACUUCUCCUGGGUUAUCUCAAGAACAACGCAGACCUCUAGAUGAAAGAGGAGAGCUGAGCAAAGAUGAAGAUUCACAUGACAGUGAAUCACUUGAGUUUGGAAAACCUGUGAGACGCAACAGCAACCAAUUCGCGCCACCUUAUAUGGCCGGAAGUGAACAUGGACCUGUAGACACACUCUGAAUGGACAGACUUCAAUUGGAGGGCUUUCAGCUUCUAUUGAUAUCUCACUUAAUUUCAAAAAUAUCCAACAGAUGGCUCAAAAUGUGCCAGAGGUCAAAUAUCAAAAAUACACACAUGUGUGAAACACAACACAGACCACAAGCUGGAGGAAACAACAACUGUGCUUUCUGUGCAGCUGAUCUUAUUUAAGUGAUGUUAUCAAAGGCAAACAUGCUUAAUCAGAAUGAUGAAGAUGUCAUGCUGAGAUACUCAUCUAAAUCAUCCACAGCAUGUUUCUGUAUAUAUGUACAUUUUGAAACUUUUCAUCAUCUUUUUACAUUGUUGUAUAUGUGCAAACAUUUAAGAGUAUUUAAAUCUGCUUUUUAUGUUUCCAUUGUUGAAGAGUCGAGGAGAAGAGAAACUACAUAAGUAUUAUAAAUGCGUCUGCUUUAUGAGGAAAUGUAAGAGGAAAAGAUGUGUGUUCCUUAGACGAUUAAACAGCCUUCCUCAAAAGAGUAGUUGAGUUGGCAACUAGAAAACGUAUGAUUCCCAACUGCAUUGAUAAACAUCUGCUGUGAUUUGUUGAGUGCUAUCUUUUUACAGUAACUAUACCCAAACAUAUCAAUGCUCAUAUUUAGCCUUUAUGUUGUACAAGUGCUACUAAAAUCAUUAAAAUGACAGGUAAGCCUAGAUUCUGGUAUAAUACGUAAAUAUAGUUCUGUUUAGUGAUAGCUUAAUUGCUUGUUAAGUUCAACACCCUAGUUGCAGUAUAUGACACAGUCUUAGAAUACUGUAUAAUAAAGAAUAAGUAUUUCAUUCAAAAUACUCUCAUGAAUGCUGGUCCUGGAAGGUUAAAAACUAUGUAAUGUAGUGUUGCCCCCUACUGGAAAAUAUGCCAUAUUGGUCUAAUGGUCUAAUAGCAUCAUCUAGUGAAAAAGAGUAGUAUUACACGCUGCAUGUUUAAAGGGAUAGUUCACCCAAAUAUUAAAGUUCUCUCAUCAUUUACUCACCCUCAUGUUACAAACCUGAGUUUAUUUUCCUCUGCAGACAAACAAAAAUAAAUACAUUUUGAGAAAUAUUGUUUGGGCCUCAAUGUUCUUUAAAAUAUGUUUUGUUUCACAAAAGAAAGGUUUGGAAUGGCAUGAGGGUGGAGUAAAUGAUGAUAGAAGUUUCAUUUUUGGGUGAACUAUCCAUUUAACACAAACUAUUUUCAAUAAAGGUACUUUUAUUACAAAAAAAAGACAAUAAAAUACACUUUCUCAUUUUCCUCUUCUGUUCUGCAGUUUCGCUUCUCUAGUUGUGCACUAUUCCGGCUUAUUCUUCAAAUGUUUUGUGGCA
RNAcentral lists this long non-coding RNA (1856 nucleotides) under Sinocyclocheilus grahami. RNAcentral describes it as "lncRNA (ENSSGRG00000021972.1)". The record is from RNAcentral. Lineage: Eukaryota; Metazoa; Chordata; Actinopteri; Cypriniformes; Cyprinidae.